This is a small nuclear RNA of Hemibagrus wyckioides, 120 nucleotides long. RefSeq annotates it as U5 spliceosomal RNA. The record is from RefSeq and is a predicted model, not a curated record. Lineage: Eukaryota; Metazoa; Chordata; Actinopteri; Siluriformes; Bagridae. The transcript has a single exon.
UGGCUGUGGUUUCUCUUAAGUCACGCGUAAAUCUUUCGCCUUUUACUAAAGCAUUCCGUGGAGAGAGUUUGAUGCUCAAUGAGUUUGAUGUAUUUUUAUGAGCUUUGCUCUGGCAAAGCU